This 497-nucleotide ribosomal RNA is filed under the name uncultured bacterium. Its description in RNAcentral is "partial 16S ribosomal RNA". It matches the Rfam family "Bacterial small subunit ribosomal RNA", at positions 28 to 507 of the family's 1533-position model. The record is from RNAcentral.
GACGAACGCUGGCGGCGUGCCUAAUACAUGCAAGUUGAGCGCUGAAGGUUGGUACUUGUGCCGACUGGUUGAGCAGCGAACGGGUGAGUAACGCGUGGGGAAUCUGCCUUUGAGCGGGGGACAACAUUUGGAGACGAAUGCUAAUACCGCAUAAAAACUUUAAACACAAUUUUUAAGUUUGAAAGAUGCAAUUGCAUCACUCAAAGAUGAUCCCGCGUUGUAUUGGCUAGUUGGUGAGGGAAAGGCUCACCAAGGCGAGGAUACAUAGCCGACCUGAGAGGGGGAGCGGCCACAUUGGGACUGGGACACGGCCCAAACUACUGCGGGUGGCAGCCGGAGGGGAUCCUCGGGAAUGGAAGAAAGUCGGACCGAGCAACGCCGCGUGAGUGAAUAAGGUUUUCGGAUCGUAAAAGUCAGUAGGUAGAGAAGAAUGUUGGUGAGAGUGGAAAGCGCAUCAAGUGACGGUAACUACCCAGAAAGGGACGGCUAACUACGUG